GAUGAACGCUGGCGGCGUGCCUAAUACAUGCAAGUCGAACGCAUUGAGAGAAGUGCUUGCACUUUUCAAUUUGAGUGGCGAACGGGUGAGUAACACGUGGGCAACCUACCUGAUAGCGGGGGAUAACGAGUGGAAACAUUCGCUAAUACCGCAUAACAAUAGAGAAGGCAUCUUCUUUAUUUCAAAGGCGCUCUCAAGCGUCACUAUCAGAUGGGGCCGGGGUGCAUUAGUUAGUUGGUGGGGUGAAGGCCUCCCAAGACGAUGAUGCAUAGCCGAGUUGGGAGACUGAUCGGCCACAUUGGGACUGAGACACGGCCCAAACUCCUACGGGAGGCUGCAGUAGGGAAUCUUCCACAAUGGACGAAAGUCUGAUGGAGCAACGCCGCGUGUGUGAUGAAGGCUUUCGGGUCGUAAAGCACUGUUGUAUGGGAAGAAAUGCUAGGCUAGGAAAUGAGCUUAGUUUGACGGUACCAUACCAGAAAGGGACGGCUAAAUACGUGCCAGCCGCCGCAGUAA
RNAcentral lists this ribosomal RNA (516 nucleotides) under uncultured bacterium. RNAcentral describes it as "partial 16S ribosomal RNA". It matches the Rfam family "Bacterial small subunit ribosomal RNA", at positions 28 to 523 of the family's 1533-position model. The record is from RNAcentral.